RNAcentral lists this ribosomal RNA (229 nucleotides) under uncultured bacterium. RNAcentral describes it as "partial 16S ribosomal RNA". It matches the Rfam family "Bacterial small subunit ribosomal RNA", at positions 568 to 796 of the family's 1533-position model. The record is from RNAcentral.
UGCGUAGGCGGAAAAUUAAGUAAGUGGUGAAAUCCUGCAGCUCAACUGUAGAACUGUCAUUGAUACUGAUUUUCUUGAAUACAGUUGAGGUAGGCGGAAUAUGUAAUGUAGCGGUGAAAUGCUUAGAUAUUACAUAGAACACCGAUUGCGAAGGCAGCUUACUAAACUGUGAUUGACGCUGAGGCACGAAAGCGUGGGGAGCGAACAGGAUUAGAUACCCUGGUAGUCC